CAGAAAUUCAUGAUCCUUCUUUUAAGAGCUGCAUGGAUUUGGAGUCUUAUCCUCACUAGAAGAGAGGAAUGCACCCAAUGGAAAAGAGGAGAGCAACCAAAGUCUAAGCUAAGAGCAUAGUUUCAUAAAGUAUUUCCUCUGGCAUUCAUAGUUUUUGUGGACACACCUGAUACCUGAAAAAAACAAUCUGAGAAAAUCUAGGCUGUAACCAGCUCCCCGUUACCCUCAAUGAUAUCAUGGUGAAUAUCUUAGUGCAUGAUGCUUCAUGAAUUUAUGUGAAAGCUUCUCUGGGUUUACUCAGAUAUCCAAAACAUCAUUCACUGUUAAAUCCAGGAAACAUCCUUGGAUUUGGAAAUUAUGGAAGGAGAAAUUAUUAUUGGAACUGUACUGAACCUUUAGCUCAAUUAAGUUCAAAACAGAUACAAAGCUAUGAGCAUGUAUAUGCAGAGGUAGAUCAACCUGGAAGCUACUACAAUAGUCCAGGUGAGACAUCAAGAGGACAACUGAGGAAAUAAAGUGGACAUGGAGAAGAGGGAGAAGAUUCAACUAUUUAUACAGUUUGAUGAGGCAGGAUACCAUGCUGUGGAGACCCAUUUGGCAAGAAACUAAAGGCAGCCACCAUCCAAAUGCUAGGAAAAAGCUACAGCUUUCUGUCUGAUGGCAAAGGAGACACUGAAUCCAGUCAACAAUAACAGGAGUUUGAUGGAAGAUCCAUUCCCCAGUGGAGCCUCAGAUAACACCUCAAGUCUGGCCAACAUUCUGACUGUAAACUUAUGAGAGACCCUGAAGCAGAGAAUUCAGCUAAUCCAUGCCUGGGUUUCUGACUCUCAAAAAUUCUGAGAUAAUAAAUGCA
RNAcentral lists this long non-coding RNA (853 nucleotides) under Homo sapiens (human). RNAcentral describes it as "HSALNT0325259". The record is from RNAcentral. Lineage: Eukaryota; Metazoa; Chordata; Mammalia; Primates; Hominidae.